UACGAAGGGGGCUAGCGUUGCUCGGAUUGACUGGGCGUAAAGGGCGCGUAGGCGGCGGACACAGUCAGACGUGAAAUUCCUGGGCUCAACCUGGGGGCUGCGUUUGAUACAUGUUCGCUUGAGUUCGGAAGAGGGUAGUGGAAUUCCCAGUGUAGAGGUGAAAUUCGUAGAUAUUGGGAAGAACACCGGUGGCGAAGGCGGCGACCUGGUCAGAUACUGGCGCUGAGGCGCGAAAGCGUGGGGAGCAAACAGG
This 253-nucleotide ribosomal RNA is filed under the name uncultured bacterium. RNAcentral describes it as "partial 16S ribosomal RNA". It matches the Rfam family "Bacterial small subunit ribosomal RNA", at positions 524 to 776 of the family's 1533-position model. The record is from RNAcentral.